RNAcentral lists this unclassified non-coding RNA (1366 nucleotides) under uncultured Neocallimastigales. Its description in RNAcentral is "partial contains internal transcribed spacer 1, 5.8S ribosomal RNA, internal transcribed spacer 2, and large subunit ribosomal RNA". The stretch from base 593 to 1366 matches the Rfam family "Eukaryotic large subunit ribosomal RNA", at positions 1 to 634 of the family's 3401-position model. Lineage: Eukaryota; Fungi; Neocallimastigomycota; Neocallimastigomycetes; Neocallimastigales. The record is from RNAcentral.
AAAAUAAUCCUACCCUUUGUGAAUUUUGUUUGUUUGAAUAAUUUUUUUUUUAAAAAAUUAUUGGAGUCUUUCCUUUAGAGUUUGCUUUUGAGUUUGUAAAAGAAUUCGAAAACAUCUAAAGGGGAUGGUCAAUAAUUUUUUUUGAAAAAAGACAUUUUUUAAAAUUAAACUUUUUGUAUUCAUUUGUCUAAAAAUUAUUUUUAUAAUAUAAAAACAACUUUUGACAAUGGAUCUCUUGGUUCUCGCAACGAUGAAGAACGCAGCAAAAUGCGAUAAGUAGUGUGAAUUGCAGAAUACGUGAAUCAUCGAAUCUUUGAACGCAUAUUGCACUUUUUUAGUUUACUAAAAAAGUAUGUCUGUUUGAGUAUCAGUAAAAUAUUCUCAUAAAAAUCAUUGUAUUUUUAUGGUUAUGAGUGUUUUACAACGAUACAAGUUGUUUCACUUUAAAUUUUUUUUUAAUAUUGAAAUUUUUCUAAUUUUAAUAAUUAAAAUUGGAUAAAAUUUUCCCGUCAAAAGGAAUAACCUAAACAAUUUUAAACGAUUAAUUUUAGCAAAAUUUUCGUAAAAAAGGAAAAUUUUUAUUAAAAUAACUUGAUCUCAAAUCAGAUAAGAGUACCCGCUGAACUUAAGCAUAUCAAUAAGCGGAGGAAAAGAACUAACAAGGAUUCCCUUAGUAACGGCGAGUGAAGCGGGAAGAGCUCAAAUUUGAAAUCUUCAAGGUUUACCUUGACGAAUUGUAGUUUAAAGAAGUGUUUUCUGCUGAAGUUUUGGUGAAAGUUCUUUGGAAUAGGACAUCAUAGAGGGUGAGAAUCCCGUAUUUGACCAUUAUUUUCAGCUUUGUGAUACACUUUCAAAGAGUCGGAUUGUUUGGGAAUGCAGUCCAAAAUGGGUGGUAAAUUUCAUCUAAAGCUAAAUAUUGGCGAGAGACCGAUAGCGAACAAGUACCAUGAGGGAAAGAUGAAAAGAACUUUGAAAAGAGAGUUAAACAGUACGUGAAAUUGUCAAAAGGGAAGCGUUUGACACCAAUGUUGUUUUCUCGAAAAUCAAUUAAAAAUGGCUCGAUUUUGUAUUGCUUGAGACCUUAAAAGCUCACUGUACAUUUUUCGUGUCUUUUUUAAUGCACUUUUCGUUUAACAAGUCAACAUCAGUUUCUUUUGUUGUAAAAGGGUCAUUGGAAGGUGGCUUUCUUUUCGGAGAAAGUGUUUAUAGCCUUUGGCCUCUGCAAUCGAAGAGACUGAGGUCUGCAGCGUAGACUCUUCGGGGUUAGAUACAUUUGUGCUAAGUUAUAGCUUUUUAUAGACAACUUGUUGACUAUAAUUAGUCUUGUAGCUUACUCGCUUAUGCUAUUUUACCUACGCUUAGGAUG